RNAcentral lists this ribosomal RNA (549 nucleotides) under uncultured bacterium. RNAcentral's name for it is "bacterial SSU rRNA". It matches the Rfam family "Bacterial small subunit ribosomal RNA", at positions 356 to 896 of the family's 1533-position model. The record is from RNAcentral.
AGGGAAUCUUCGGCAAUGGACGGAAGUCUGACCGAGCAACGCCGCGUGAGUGAAGAAGGUUUUCGGAUCGUAAAGCUCUGUUGUAAGAGAAGAACGAGUGUGAGAGUGGAAAGUUCACACUGUGACGGUAUCUUACCAGAAAGGGACGGCUAACUACGUGCCAGCAGCCGCGGUAAUACGUAGGUCCCGAGCGUUGUCCGGAUUUAUUGGGCGUAAAGCGAGCGCAGGCGGUUAGAUAAGUCUGAAGUUAAAGGCUGUGGCUUAACCAUAGUACGCUUUGGAAACUGUUUAACUUGAGUGCAAGAGGGGAGAGUGGAAUUCCAUGUGUAGCGGUGAAAUGCGUAGAUAUAUGGAGGAACACCGGUGGCGAAAGCGGCUCUCUGGCUUGUAACUGACGCUGAGGCUCGAAAGCGUGUGGAGCAAACAGGAUUAGAUACCCUGGUAGUCCACGCCGUAAACGAUGAGUGCUAGGUGUUAGACCCUUUCCGGGGUUUAGUGCCGCAGCUAACGCAUUAAGCACUCCGCCUGGGGAGUACGACCGCAAGGUUG